UACGUAGGGUGCGAGCGUUAAUCGGAAUUACUGGGCGUAAAGCGUGCGCAGGCGGUUUUGUAAGACAGGCGUGAAAUCCCCGGGCUCAACCUGGGAAUGGCGCUUGUGACUGCAAGGCUGGAGUGCGGCAGAGGGGGAUGGAAUUCCGCGUGUAGCAGUGAAAUGCGUAGAUAUGCGGAGGAACACCGAUGGCGAAGGCAAUCCCCUGGGCCUGCACUGACGCUCAUGCACGAAAGCGUGGGGAGCAAACAGG
This 253-nucleotide ribosomal RNA is filed under the name uncultured bacterium. RNAcentral describes it as "partial 16S ribosomal RNA". It matches the Rfam family "Bacterial small subunit ribosomal RNA", at positions 524 to 776 of the family's 1533-position model. The record is from RNAcentral. RNAcentral also lists the same sequence under 1 other name.